GUUAGGAAUAUUGGACAAUGGGCGCGAGCCUGAUCCAGCCAUGCCGCGUGAGUGAUGAAGGCCUUCGGGUUGUAAAGCUCUUUAGCCGAUGAUUAUAAUGACUGUAGUCGGAAAAUAAGCCCCGGCUAACUUCGUGCCAGCAGCCGCGGUAAUACGAAGGGGGCGAGCGUUAUUCGGAAUCACUGGGCGUAAAGCGUGCGUAGGCGGCUUUGCAAGUUGGGAGUGAAAGCCCAGGGCUCAACCUUGGAAUUGCUCUUAAAACUGCAAGGCUCGAAUCUCGGAGAGGAUAGCGGAAUUUCCAGUGUAGCAGUGAAAUGCGUAGAUAUUGGAAGGAACACCAGUGGCGUAAGCGGCUAUCUGGACGAGUAUUGACGCUGAGGCACGAAAGCGUGGGGAUCAAACAGGAUUAGAUACCCGUGUAGUCC
This 425-nucleotide ribosomal RNA is filed under the name uncultured bacterium. RNAcentral describes it as "partial 16S ribosomal RNA". It matches the Rfam family "Bacterial small subunit ribosomal RNA", at positions 354 to 796 of the family's 1533-position model. The record is from RNAcentral.